GAUGAACGCUGGCGGCGUGCCUAAUACAUGCAAGUCGAGCGAACAGAUAAGGAGCUUGCUCCUUUGACGUUAGCGGCGGACGGGUGAGUAACACGUGGGUAACCUACCUAUAAGACUGGAAUAACUCCGGGAAACCGGGGCUAAUGCCGGAUAACAUUUAGAACCGCAUGGUUCUAAAGUGAAAGAUGGUUUUGCUAUCACUUAUAGAUGGACCCGCGCCGUAUUAGCUAGUUGGUAAGGUAACGGCUUACCAAGGCAACGAUACGUAGCCGACCUGAGAGGGUGAUCGGCCACACUGGAACUGAGACACGGUCCAGACUCCUACGGGAGGCAGCAGUAGGGAAUCUUCCGCAAAGGGCGAAAGCCUGACGGAGCAACGCCGCGUGAGUGAUGAAGGUCUUCGGAUCGUAAAACUCUGUUAUUAGGGAAGAACAAAUGUGUAAGUAACUGUGCACGUCCUGACGGUACCUAAUCAGAAAGCCACGGCUAACUACGUG
RNAcentral lists this ribosomal RNA (497 nucleotides) under uncultured bacterium. Its description in RNAcentral is "partial 16S ribosomal RNA". It matches the Rfam family "Bacterial small subunit ribosomal RNA", at positions 28 to 507 of the family's 1533-position model. The record is from RNAcentral.